UGGGCACAAAGGUGGGGGUGAUUUUUAAAGUUGAAGAUCGUAAAUUCCAGCGAUAGAGUUACUAACAAUGGUAAUGGCGGUGCAGGUUUGCUUUCCUUACUGUGCAUUUCUAAAAAUAUAUCAAGUUAUCGUUCAACAAGUUUGAUACUCACGAGGCAUUUUAAUAAAACAUUUCUAAGAAAUCCGAAUUCACCGUGAGCGGUAACCCUAUAUUUGGGCGAUUUAUCGACAGCCAGACAUAAAGACCGUGAAACAACAAAACAUGCAACAUAAAAGGAACUUCCUAAACUAUGACACAAACUGUUUCCGCGUUAUUUCAAAUAUUCUUGUUUAACAACUUCCCAAAACAUCCUACGUAGUACGUUUUUUACGUUGUUUUGAACCGUGUGAGACUAUAUAAGCUAAACUCCGACUGUUGGUCUUCACUCAACGUUCAAACGCAGAGUCCUCCACUUCAAGUAGUAACUAUAGCAACAAAGAUGGAGUCAGUCCGCCAAUAUAUCUACCAGGCCGCUACCUUUGCCAUGGUGGUCAUGCUUCAAGCGGCGUUUGCCCAGUACCAAGAUGACAACAACGGUGGCGAUUUCUUGUACGGUCCAUACCGCUACAUCAACAGAUAUGGUUACUAAGGAUAUGACGAUUGUUAUUGGGCCGGUGACGAAUGGACAUGUGGUAAUGGAUACUAGUCAACAAAUUAGAACCAUCUCAUCUUGUAGUACCAAAUUCCGGACAUCAAUCAGAAAAUACAUGUUGGCAACCAAAUAUUUUGUUGUAUGCAUUCAAAUUGUAUCUCGUGGUCAAUAAACAAUCGUUGCUUCCUAUCA
Molecule: long non-coding RNA, 824 nt
Organism: Ostrea edulis (European flat oyster)
Lineage: Eukaryota; Metazoa; Mollusca; Bivalvia; Ostreida; Ostreidae
Exons: 2
Source: RefSeq, a predicted model, not a curated record